Molecule: small nuclear RNA, 137 nt
Filed under: Ochotona princeps (American pika)
Lineage: Eukaryota; Metazoa; Chordata; Mammalia; Lagomorpha; Ochotonidae
Description: U1 spliceosomal RNA (ENSOPRG00000023196.1)
Rfam family: U1 spliceosomal RNA
About the family: U1 is a small nuclear RNA (snRNA) component of the spliceosome (involved in pre-mRNA splicing).
Source: RNAcentral
UUAUUUGCCUGGCAGGGGAGAUCCCAUGAUCACGAUAGGGGAUCAGAGUGAGGCUCAUUUAUGGCUCUUGGGAUGUGCUUUCCCCACCUGUGGGAAACUCUACUGCAAAAUUUGUGGUAGAGUAGUGGUGAACUGUG